GUAGGUGAACCUGCGGAAGGAUCAUUAACACGUAUCCAACGUUAAACAACCCUGUGAACCUUGAACGUGCUCUCGUACACGCUCUAGCAGCGAUCCCUGGUAAAUCAUUGUUGACCAGCUAUUGAGUCUGGGACUUCUGCUAGAAAACCAUACGAUACGAGCGCCAGAGUAAGUGCGGCCUGGCAUCCUAGCAAUCUGUCAGUGGUUGCGCAAGGAUGGCGCAGUAAACGAUCGCUGUAGGCCCACACGGCCGGCGACCGGGCCUCUGUGCUUCGGUUCUGACCCGGUGCGCUGUAACAACCGCACCACAAACUCGAACAACUGUUAACAAUGGAUAUCUUGGUUCUU
RNAcentral lists this unclassified non-coding RNA (348 nucleotides) under rhizosphere metagenome. RNAcentral describes it as "partial ribosomal RNA internal transcribed spacer region". The record is from RNAcentral.